UUCUAACAGAUUUCAAUAUUAGUAUAACCUGCUCAAUGAUUUAAAUAGCCGCAAUUUACUGUGCUAAGGUAGCAUAAUCAUUUGUCUUUUAAUUAAAGACUAGAACGAAUGGUUUAACAUUUAAAUUUCUAUAAUUAAUAAAUAUAUUUAAUUUAUUUUAAGUAUAAAAAAAUACUUAUUAACUAGAUAGACAACAAGACCCUAUUAAACUUCACUUUAGUUUAACUGGGGCAGUUAAUUAAUUAUAAUUUUAAUUUUUUCAUUAUCUAAAAGAUCUGAUAAAAUCAACUAAUUGAACAAGUUACUAUAGGGAUAACAGCAUAAUUAUAUAUUAAAGAUCUUAUUUAAUAUAAAGAUUAUGACCUCGAUGUUGAAUAAUUUCCUUUUUUACGCAAUAGUAUAAAUAGGAAGUCUGUUCGACUUUUAAAAAAUUACA
Molecule: ribosomal RNA, 436 nt
Filed under: Dictyna latens
Lineage: Eukaryota; Metazoa; Arthropoda; Arachnida; Araneae; Dictynidae
Description: partial 16S ribosomal RNA
Source: RNAcentral